RNAcentral lists this ribosomal RNA (404 nucleotides) under uncultured bacterium. Its description in RNAcentral is "bacterial SSU rRNA". It matches the Rfam family "Bacterial small subunit ribosomal RNA", at positions 430 to 826 of the family's 1533-position model. The record is from RNAcentral.
GCACUUUAAGCAGUGAAGAAGACUCCAUGGUUAAUACCCAUGGACGAUGACAUUAGCUGCAGAAUAAGCACCGGCUAACUCUGUGCCAGCAGCCGCGGUAAUACAGAGGGUGCAAGCGUUAAUCGGAAUUACUGGGCGUAAAGGGAGCGUAGGUGGCUCGAUAAGUCAGAUGUGAAAUCCCCGGGCUCAACCUGGGAACUGCAUCUGAUACUGUUGAGCUAGAGUAUGUGAGAGGAAGGUAGAAUUCCAGGUGUAGCGGUGAAAUGCGUAGAGAUCUGGAGGAAUACCGAUGGCGAAGGCAGCCUUCUGGCAUAAUACUGACACUGAGGCUCGAAAGCGUGGGUAGCGAACAGGAUUAGAUACCCUGGUAGUCCACGCCGUAAACGAUGUCUACUAGUCGUUGG